ACCCUAUUAUAAAAAAUGUAAAUUAGAAAUAUUAGAGUAGUAUUAGCUAUAUUCUUGAAAUUUAAAAAAUUUGGCGGUAUUUUAGUCUUUUCAGAGGAACCUGUCUUGUAAUUGAUAAUCCACGAUAAGUUUUACUUAAUUUACAAGUUUAUAUAUCGUCGUAGGUUGAAUAUCUUAAAAGAGUAUUAAUAUUCAUGAUUUAAGAUAAUAAAAUAAAUCAGAUCAAGGUGUAGCUUAUAAUUAAGGAGUGAUGGGUUACAAUAAAUUUAUUUAUAUAGUUAUAAUAUUUUAAUAGAUUAUUUAAAGUGGAUUUGAGAGUAAUAUAUUUUAUAUUAAAGUAUAUGAUUGAAGCUCUAAAAUAUG
This 363-nucleotide ribosomal RNA is filed under the name Helictopleurus nicollei. RNAcentral's name for it is "partial 12S ribosomal RNA". The record is from RNAcentral. Lineage: Eukaryota; Metazoa; Arthropoda; Insecta; Coleoptera; Scarabaeidae.